GCAGUCGUGGCCGAGGGGUUAAGGUGUUGGACUAGAAAUCCAUUGGGGUCUCCCCGCACAGGUUCAAAUCCUGUCAACCGCG
This 82-nucleotide transfer RNA is filed under the name Ixodes scapularis (black-legged tick). It matches the Rfam family "tRNA". From Rfam's summary of the family: Transfer RNA (tRNA) molecules are approximately 80 nucleotides in length. Their secondary structure includes four short double-helical elements and three loops (D, anti-codon, and T loops). Lineage: Eukaryota; Metazoa; Arthropoda; Arachnida; Ixodida; Ixodidae. The record is from Rfam by way of RNAcentral.